CAGCAGCCGCGGGAAUACAGAGGGUGCGAGCGUUAAUCGGAUUUACUGGGCGUAAAGCGUGCGUAGGCGGCUAAUUGAGUCGGAUGUGAAAUCCCCGAGCUUAACUUGGGAAUUGCAUUCGAUACUGGUUAGCUAGAGUGUGGGAGAGGAUGGUAGAAUUCCAGGUGUAGCGGUGAAAUGCGUAGAGAUCUGGAGGAAUACCGAUGGCGAAGGCAGCCAUCUGGCCUAACACUGACGCUGAGGUACGAAAGCAUGGGGAGCAAACAGGAUUAGAUACCCGCGUAGUACCUGUCUCUUAUAC
RNAcentral lists this ribosomal RNA (301 nucleotides) under uncultured bacterium. Its description in RNAcentral is "partial 16S ribosomal RNA". It matches the Rfam family "Bacterial small subunit ribosomal RNA", at positions 509 to 807 of the family's 1533-position model. The record is from RNAcentral.